RNAcentral lists this ribosomal RNA (404 nucleotides) under Verrucomicrobiota bacterium. RNAcentral's name for it is "Verrucomicrobia bacterium partial 16S ribosomal RNA". It matches the Rfam family "Bacterial small subunit ribosomal RNA", at positions 355 to 776 of the family's 1533-position model. Lineage: Bacteria; Pseudomonadati; Verrucomicrobiota. The record is from RNAcentral.
UGGGGAAUAUUGCACAAUGGGGGAAACCCUGAUGCAGCGACGCCGCGUGAGCGAAGAAGGUUUUCGAAUCGUAAAGCUCUGUCCUAUGAGAAGAUAAUGACGGUAUCAUAGGAGGAAGCCCCGGCUAAAUACGUGCCAGCAGCCGCGGUAAUACGUAGGUCCCGAGCGUUGUCCGGAUUUAUUGGGCGUAAAGCGCGCGCAGGUGGUUUAGAAAGUCUGAUGUGAAAGCCCACGGCUCAACCGUGGAGGGUCAUUGGAAACUAAUAAACUUGAGUGCAGGAGAGAAAAGUGGAAUUCCUAGUGUAGCGGUGAAAUGCGUAGAGAUUAGGAGGAACACCGGUGGCGAAAGCGGCUUUUUGGCCUGCAACUGACACUGAGGCGCGAAAGCGUGGGGAGCAAACAGG